This 206-nucleotide ribosomal RNA is filed under the name uncultured bacterium. RNAcentral's name for it is "partial 16S ribosomal RNA". It matches the Rfam family "Bacterial small subunit ribosomal RNA", at positions 568 to 774 of the family's 1533-position model. The record is from RNAcentral.
CUCGUAGGCGGUUUGUCGCGUCUGCUGUGAAAUCCGAGGCUCAACCUCGGACCUGCAGUGGGUACGGGCAAACUAGAGUGCGGUAGGGGAGAUGGGAAUUCCUGGUGUAGCGGUGGAAUGCGCAGAUAUCAGGAGGAACACCAAUGGCGAAGGCACAUCUCUGGGCCGUAACUGACGCUGAGGAGCGAAAGCGUGGGGAGCGAACA